RNAcentral lists this long non-coding RNA (229 nucleotides) under Elaeis guineensis (African oil palm). Its description in RNAcentral is "long non-coding RNA (EGUI_LNC022670)". The record is from RNAcentral. Lineage: Eukaryota; Viridiplantae; Streptophyta; Magnoliopsida; Arecales; Arecaceae.
GUAGAUUCAUUAUAGGAAUAAGAUAUGUAUCUAGAUGGAAUCUAUCAAUUUUAGUAGAAAAAGAGAAGUUCUAUGCAAUUCGCGAGACUGAGUUUAAAAAGUCUUUGAUCGAAGCAAGUGUGAAUACUGAAAAAGAGUUUUCAUAAAAAUUCAUAAAUGAACUCGAGUCGAGCCAAUUUUUGCAUAUGACAGAUGAUGGGAUUUGAUGAAUUUUUCAUAUCCUCUGUUU